Molecule: ribosomal RNA, 385 nt
Filed under: Russula senecis
Lineage: Eukaryota; Fungi; Basidiomycota; Agaricomycetes; Russulales; Russulaceae
Description: eukaryotic LSU rRNA
Rfam family: 5.8S ribosomal RNA (bases 1-105)
Source: RNAcentral
GAAAUGCGAUACGUAAUGUGAAUUGCAGAAUUCAGUGAAUCAUCGAAUCUUUGAACGCACCUUGCGCCCUUUGGUAUUCCGAGGGGCACACCCGUUUGAGUGUCGUGACRUUCUCAAACCUUCUCGGUUUCUCGACCGGAAAGGCUUUGGACUUUGGAGGCUUUUGCUGACCUUCCUUUGUUGGAACCAGCUCCUCUGAAAUGAAUUAGUAGGGUCUACUUUGCYGAUCCUUGACGUGAUAAAAUGUUUUCUACGUCUCGGGUUUUGCACUGUUUUGUCCUGGAUCCUGCUUCUAACCGUCUCUCAGAAGACAGAUGGUCGAGCGAUCGUCGCUCGACCCACGAACCUUGACCUCAAAUCGGGUGAGACUACCCGCUGAACUUAA